Long non-coding RNA from Haliotis rubra (blacklip abalone), 1014 nucleotides. RefSeq lists it as uncharacterized. The transcript is spliced from 3 exons. The record is from RefSeq and is a predicted model, not a curated record. NCBI's taxonomy places the organism in Eukaryota, Metazoa, Mollusca, Gastropoda, Lepetellida, Haliotidae.
GACAAAUUCCACUGGGUACUGAUUCAGCAAACUUGCAGCUUGUGUCUCCACAAAUGAUGAGAUUUCGUAGCUUCUAUCACGCUCUGAAACAAAUGUAGAAUAUUUUUAAGUCAAGCAAAGGAAUACCGGUACAUGUUCCCACCCGACUGCAGCUGACCAGGUCACCCCCUGGGGCCCCGGAUGUUGUUGAUUGACGUAUGUGUGGAUGAACAUGCACAUGAUGGAGGAACACAACAACUCACUCUCUGAUACAUCAAAGGCGUGGAAAUGCACUGGUUGUAUGUAGUUGACGAGGAGUGACAUCUCCAUGGCAGCCUCAGCUUCCUUGCCUGCUGUACCCUGGGAAACAUUAAAUAAUGCAACAUCAUCAGUAUCUUCCUCUUCAUCAGUUCUGGAGAUGGGAGGUGAACGCUGGGGUCCAGCUGAAACAACAACUUGACUUUUAAACUCCUUCACACCCAUGAACAUGUGGAUGACAAACCAAGGUUAAUAAUUUGAAGGAAUCAAGAGCACAAGCUAAAAUGGCUUUCAGUGCCAAAUUCAGUUUAGAUCAGUUCAAUAUACAGGUGAGAACAUUGAACACAGUGUGGUCCUCUUCUAACUAAGAGUCUAUGGACCCUGUCAGCAUGUGUUGACAUCCAGGUGAGAGAUGGCUGUUGGUGUACAUACCAUCUAUACUCAUACUUACAGGUGUUUUAUAUACACAGCAAUGAUACUGAGGAAUGUAUCAGAUUAAGUAUCCCCAAGACUGGGUCAACCAAGAUUUGUACAUCUUCUCAAUUUAAUGUGUGUUUUUAUUACAGAAAAUAUAAGUAUUAAAACUAAAACAGACAAGAAACAUCCCCCCCCCACCCCUAAAUCCUAAAAACAUCAUCAGUUUAACAGAUGAGCCUUCCUUCCUUCCUUCCUCCAGUCUGGUGGCACAGUGCUGACUACCCUGCCUGAGGUGGUGGAUAAAGGGAAGUAAUUCUCAGUUCACGGACAUUUUUCAUGACUACUUCUGGGAUAGGAAAA